Mus musculus (house mouse) is the source of this 371-nucleotide long non-coding RNA. RefSeq annotates it as predicted gene, 54176. The transcript has 3 exons. The record is from RefSeq and is a predicted model, not a curated record. Lineage: Eukaryota; Metazoa; Chordata; Mammalia; Rodentia; Muridae.
GAUGCAGAACUCUUGAAUCCUCCAACACUGUUCCUGCCUAGACACUGCCAUGCUUCCUGCAUUGAUGAUAAUGGACUGAACCUCUGAACCUAUUCUCCUGCAGUGAAGGUGAUCACCAUGAAAUAUUGAUGAUGUUCUUUCAACAUUCCAAAAUUGUUAUGAGACUUUAAAGAAGCCUUUAAAACUGAGACUCUUUCCUGACUAAACAGAUUCCAAGAUGCCUCCCAGGCUAGAACCCAGACAUGUGGGCAGCUGGCCAGCCUCAACAGAUUGGCAAACCAAUGCAGGACUGGGAAAGGGCAGAGGACAUUUGGAAGAAGCACUGCUGGUUUGGAGCUCCAUGGAAGAAGAAAAUAAUUAAGGAAAAUUCG